This 468-nucleotide ribosomal RNA is filed under the name uncultured bacterium. RNAcentral describes it as "partial 16S ribosomal RNA". It matches the Rfam family "Bacterial small subunit ribosomal RNA", at positions 28 to 507 of the family's 1533-position model. The record is from RNAcentral.
GACGAACGCUGGCGGCGUGCUUAACACAUGCAAGUCGAACGGAAAGGCCCUGCUUUUGUGGGGUGCUCGAGUGGCGAACGGGUGAGUAACACGUGAGUAACCUGCCCUUGACUUUGGGAUAACUUCAGGAAACUGGGGCUAAUACCGGAUAGGAGCUCCUACUGCAUGGUGGGGGUUGGAAAGUCUCGGCGGUUGGGGAUGGACUCGCGGCUUAUCAGCUUGUUGGUGGGGUAGUGGCUUACCAAGGCUUUGACGGGUAGCCGGCCUGAGAGGGUGACCGGCGACAUUGGGACUGAGAUACGGACCAGACUCCUACGGGAGGCAGCAGUGGGGAAUAUUGCACAAUGGGCGGAAGCCUGAUGAAGAAGCGCUGCGUGCGGGAAGAAGGCCUUCGGGUUGUAAACCGCUUUCGCCUGUGACGAAGCGUGAGUGACGGUAAUGGGUAAAGAAGCACCGGCUAACUACGUG